GUGCCAGCAGCCGCGGUAAUUCCAUGUCUCCAAUAGCGUAUAUUAAAGUUGUUGUGGUUAAAAAGCUCGUAGUUGAACCUUGGGCCUGGCUGGCCGGUCCGCCUCACCGCGUGCACUGGUCCGGCCGGGCCUUUCCCUCUGUGGAACCCCAUACCCUUCACUGGGCGUGGCGGGGAAACAGGACAUUUACUUUGAAAAAAUUAGAGUGCUCCAGGCAGGCCUAUGCUCGAAUACAUUAGCAUGGAAUAAUAAAAUAGGACGCGCGGUUCUAUUUUGUUGGUUUAUAGGACCGCCGUAAUGAUUAAUAGGGACAGUCGGGGGCAUCAGUAUUCAACUGUCAGAGGUGAAACUCUUGGAUCAGUUGAAGACUAACUACUGCGAAAGCAUUUGCCAAGGAUGUUUUCAUUAAUCAGGAACGAAAGUUAGGGGAUCGAAGACGAUCAGAUACCGUCGUAGUCUUAACCAUAAACUAUGCCGACUAGGGAUCGGACGGUGUUAUUCAUGACCCGUUCGGCACCUUACGAGAAAUCAAAGUGCUUGGGCUCCAGGGGGAGUAUGGGUCGCAAGGCUGAAACUUAAAGAAAUUGACGGAAGGGCACCACCAGGGGUGGAGCCUGCGGCUUAAUUUGACUCAACACGGGGAAACUCACCAGGUCCAGACACAAUAAGGAUUGACAGAUUGAGAGCUCUUUCUUGAUUUUGUGGGUGGUGGUGCAUGACCGUUCUUAGUUGGUGGGGUGACUUGUCUGCUUAAUUGCGAUACGACGAGACCUAACCUGCUAAAUAGCCGCAUGCUCCGGCAGUGCGCUGGCUUCUUAGAGGGACUUUCGGCUCAA
RNAcentral lists this ribosomal RNA (836 nucleotides) under uncultured fungus. Its description in RNAcentral is "SSU rRNA". It matches the Rfam family "Eukaryotic small subunit ribosomal RNA", at positions 564 to 1431 of the family's 1831-position model. Lineage: Eukaryota; Fungi. The record is from RNAcentral.